RNAcentral lists this transfer RNA (88 nucleotides) under Eutreptiella sp. CCMP1594. RNAcentral describes it as "tRNA-Ser". It matches the Rfam family "tRNA". Rfam says of the family: Transfer RNA (tRNA) molecules are approximately 80 nucleotides in length. Their secondary structure includes four short double-helical elements and three loops (D, anti-codon, and T loops). Further hydrogen bonds mediate the characteristic L-shaped molecular structure. tRNAs have two regions of fundamental functional importance: the anti-codon, which is responsible for specific mRNA codon recognition, and the 3' end, to which the tRNAs corresponding amino acid is attached (by aminoacyl-tRNA synthetases). tRNAs cope with the degeneracy of the genetic code in two manners: having more than one tRNA (with a specific anti-codon) for a particular amino acid; and 'wobble' base-pairing, i.e. permitting non-standard base-pairing at the 3rd anti-codon position. The record is from RNAcentral. Lineage: Eukaryota; Euglenozoa; Euglenophyceae; Eutreptiales; Eutreptiaceae.
GGAGAAGUGUCUGAGUGGUUUAAAGAGCUCGAUUGCUAAUCGAGUGUAUGUUUUAUGCAUACCGAGGGUUCGAAUCCCUUCUUCUCCU